This 907-nucleotide long non-coding RNA is filed under the name Equus caballus (horse). RNAcentral describes it as "lncRNA (ENSECAG00000057744.1)". The record is from RNAcentral. Lineage: Eukaryota; Metazoa; Chordata; Mammalia; Perissodactyla; Equidae.
AAAGACCCUGCCUCUUGAUGGAAGGAAAGUCAAACAAUUUUUCUAGCCAUUUUUUAAAACCAACAUGCCAAUAAAUGGUUAUCUAGAAAACCUGAAAAUGCAAGAUUUACCCCUAAUCCAGAGACGCCUCUUUCCAAGAUCUCAUUCAAGAACCAAAACACAGCUUUCAACCACUAUGCAUACUGCUUGCUUAUGCUACAUCGGCUCCAUCUGAUCCGUAGAUAAAGAAAUGCUGGAAAGUAGAAAGCUUCUAUUUACAGCUAUGUCCACCCAAGCUGUCUUUCCUGCUGCACAGUGAGUGGCACAGAGACCAACCGAGUGCACCAUACGAGACCAAUUAGCUAGAGAAAAUGUGUGCUGGAUCCUCCACCACCAGAAUCCAGAGCUACUGAGACCCUGUAUCUGGCAAUUGGGUUUGGACAGGCAGACAAGGGGAGUUCCAGGGUGUCUGGUGGGCUCUUAGGUAAGACCUGGGCUGGACAGCUUAGACCUUCAGCUUCCUACCCAGGAACCUAAAAGAGCUACAAUCUAUAGCGCAAUCCCCGCACUAAGUGACCUUCGCAGUUGCUGGUGAAGAGGAGAAGGCACAGACUUUGUCCGUGGCAGGAGAAAGAACAAGAGGAAUGUGCCAAUCUUGAGACAGAGGAAUGAGCAUCUCAUUUCCAGGAAUCUCACUGCUGAUAGCACAGAUGGAAUUAGAGGAAGCCAGGAUGAUCUUCUGGAAGUGGUGCUCAGGUCUCUCAUGAAAGCAGGGAAUCUGUUCUUCUCCUAGCGGUACCUAAGGGAACUGGCUCCCCACUUCCUGCCACGAGGAAGUUCACUGGAAUGCUGCUGAACUUGACCUUGAGGUUCCAGGUGCCUCCCAUAGUGGUGUUCCCAAGCUGACUUUGGUAGUGGUUGUACAACC